This 952-nucleotide long non-coding RNA is filed under the name Notechis scutatus (mainland tiger snake). RNAcentral's name for it is "lncRNA (ENSNSUG00000008702.1)". The record is from RNAcentral. Lineage: Eukaryota; Metazoa; Chordata; Lepidosauria; Squamata; Elapidae.
AUUUGUCUCCGAAGGGCUGACAUGGACUCCCACGUCCUCCUGGCGAUCCUACUGUUCUGCUCCGCAGGAGCAGCCUCUUCACCUGAGGUCACCUUGAAGUCGGUUCAUGUGGGGGAUGCCGUCACACUGCCCGUGACCCUUCCCAAGGGCCAGAGGCUCACCAACCUCCUCCUGAGGGACUCCUUGAGAAAACAAGCCAUCGCCAUCUGGAUGGAGUCCAAAAUGAUCACGAUUCUAGACAUUGACUACGCCAACCGGGUGGCCUUCCAGGAAGACCAGAUGGCCUUCAGAAUUGCCAACCUCAGCUUGGGCGACGGGACCACCUACGAAAUCUCCACCAGCUUCAGCACUUCCACACCAAAACUGCUCAGCAGCUUUCUGGUGGCUGUAUUCAGACCCUGGGCGCUGGGCUCUCUCCUGGUCAGAGGACUCCUGGUGCCCACCGUGGCUGCUGCUCUGCUGCUGCUGUGACCCAAGAAGACCCUGGGCGGCUGCUUCCCCCGGCCAGCCGGCCCCCAGCCGCUUUAAUGGGGCAGCCAAAAGGGCCUGAUGAAAGCCUAUCGUGGCACCAGCCCUUCCAGGUAGACCAAGUCAAGCAACGCUCCAGAGGAAGACCGGGACUCUUCUUUCCUUGAGAAAGGCUAGAAUCAGAGAAUUUUAUAAUUGCUUCUUUUAUCCCAGGGAAUCCGCAGCUCUUCUAAGCCAUGUUUAAUCAGCUUCAGACCCCUUUGCUUGUUUCAUGGGCCUCAACACCCCUCGAGGCAUCUCCAGCCCACCCACAGCCUCCCUCGGGCUCCCACGUGCUGGCACAGGGUGUCCCUGUAGCGCCAGUUCUUAAGGCUGGAGGAGCAACCUGUCCGAUGAUUGAAAAGCCGCUUUUCUCCCUGUUUUCGGAUGAGUAUUUGUUGUGUCUAAGUGCUUUGCCUGCUAUUACCCAUUAAAAGAUGAGGUG